CGUCCUAUUAGCUAGUUGGUGAGGUAAUGGCUCACCAAGGCUACGAUGGGUAGGGGUUCUUAGUGGAAGGUCCCCCACACUGGCACUGAGAUACGGGCCAGACUCCUACGGGAGGCAGCAGUAGGGAAUAUUGGUCAAUGGGCGCAAGCCUGAACCAGCCAUGCCGCGUGCAGGAUGAAGGCUCUCUGAGUUGUAAACUGCUUUUGUACAGGAGCAAAAAAAUCCCUGCGGGGGUUCUUGAGAGUACUGUAAGAAUAAGCACCGGCUAAUUCCGUGCCAGCAGCCGCGGUAAUACGGGAGGUGCAAGCGUUAUCCGGUUUUAUUGGGUUUAAAGGGUGCGUAGGCGGCUUAUUAAGUCAGUUGUGAAAUCCUAGUGCUUAACGCUAGAACUGCGAUUGAUACUAUU
Molecule: ribosomal RNA, 406 nt
Filed under: Candidatus Cardinium hertigii
Lineage: Bacteria; Pseudomonadati; Bacteroidota; Cytophagia; Cytophagales; Amoebophilaceae
Also listed under: 4 other names
Description: bacterial SSU rRNA
Rfam family: Bacterial small subunit ribosomal RNA
Source: RNAcentral